AGUGAACGCUGGCGGUAGGCCUAACACAUGCAAGUCGAACGGCAGCACAGGAGAGCUUGCUCUCUGGGUGGCGAGUGGCGGACGGGUGAGGAAUACAUCGGAAUCUACUUUUUCGUGGGGGAUAACGUAGGGAAACUUACGCUAAUACCGCAUACGACCUACGGGUGAAAGCAGGGGACCUUCGGGCCUUGCGCGAUUGAAUGAGCCGAUGUCGGAUUAGCUAGUUGGCGGGGUAAAGGCCCACCAAGGCGACGAUCCGUAGCUGGUCUGGGAGGAUGAUCAGCCACACUGGAACUGAGACACGGUCCAGACUCCUACGGGAGGCAGGAGUGGGGAAUAUUGGACAAUGGGCGCAAGCCUGAUCCAGCCAUACCGCGUGGGUGAAGAAGGCCUUCGGAUUGUAAAGCCCUUUUGUUGGGAAAGAAAUCCAGCUGGCUAAUACCCGGUUGGGAUGACGGUACCCAAAGAAUAAGCACCGGCUAACUUCGUGCCAGCCGCCGCGGUAA
This 506-nucleotide ribosomal RNA is filed under the name uncultured bacterium. RNAcentral describes it as "partial 16S ribosomal RNA". It matches the Rfam family "Bacterial small subunit ribosomal RNA", at positions 29 to 523 of the family's 1533-position model. The record is from RNAcentral.